RNAcentral lists this ribosomal RNA (451 nucleotides) under uncultured bacterium. Its description in RNAcentral is "bacterial SSU rRNA". It matches the Rfam family "Bacterial small subunit ribosomal RNA", at positions 29 to 524 of the family's 1533-position model. The record is from RNAcentral.
AGCGAACGCUGGCGGCAGGCUUAACACAUGCAAGUCGAGCGGGCGUAGCAAUACGUCAGCGGCAGACGGGUGAGUAACGCGUGGGAACGUACCUUUUGGUUCGGAACAACCCAGGGAAACUUGGGCUAAUACCGGAUAAGCCCUUACGGGGAAAGAUUUAUCGCCGAAAGAUCGGCCCGCGUCUGAUUAGCUAGUUGGUGAGGUAACGGCUCACCAAGGCGACGAUCAGUAGCUGGUCUGAGAGGAUGAUCAGCCACAUUGGGACUGAGACACGGCCCAAACUCCUACGGGAGGCAGCAGUGGGGAAUAUUGGACAAUGGGCGCAAGCCUGAUCCAGCCAUGCCGCGUGAGUGAUGAAGGCCCUAGGUUGUAAAGCUCUUUUGUGCGGGAAGAUAAUGACGGUACCGCAAGAAUAAGCCCCGGCUAACUUCGCGCCAGCAGCCGCUGUAAU